CCUACGGGAGGCAGCANUGGGGAAUUUUGGACAAUGGGGGAAACCCUGAUCCAGCAAUGCCGCGUGAGUGAAGUAGGCCUUCGGGUUGUAAAGCUCUUUUGUCAGGGAAGAAACACCGGCUCUAACACAGUCCGGGAAUGACGGUACCUGAAGAAUAAGCACCGGCUAACUACGUGCCAGCAGCCGCGGUAAUACGUAGGGUGCGAGCGUUAAUCGGAAUUACUGGGCGUAAAGCGUGCGCAGGCGGUUAUACAAGACAGGCGUGAAAUCCCCGGGCUUAACCUGGGAAUGGCGCCUGUGACUGUAUAGCUAGAGUGUGUCAGAGGGGGGUAGAAUUCCACGUGUAGCAGUGAAAUGCGUAGAUAUGUGGAGGAAUACCAAUGGCGAAGGCAGCCCCGCUGGGAUAACACUCGACGCUCAUGCACGAAAGCGUGGGGAGCAAACAGGAUUAGAUACCCCUGGUAGUCCACGCCCUAAACGAUGGAUGAAC
Molecule: ribosomal RNA, 490 nt
Filed under: uncultured beta proteobacterium
Lineage: Bacteria; Pseudomonadati; Pseudomonadota; Betaproteobacteria
Description: bacterial SSU rRNA
Rfam family: Bacterial small subunit ribosomal RNA
Source: RNAcentral